RNAcentral lists this unclassified non-coding RNA (1308 nucleotides) under Rhagoletis pomonella (apple maggot). RNAcentral describes it as "uncharacterized LOC118738968, transcript variant X2". The record is from RNAcentral. Lineage: Eukaryota; Metazoa; Arthropoda; Insecta; Diptera; Tephritidae.
AAAUUAGUGAUAAUUUGUGAUAAUUAUCUGUUAAGAAACAAAGCUAUGUUUUGGUACUUACCCGGCAUUGUAUUUUUUUGUCGUCAAUUUAUUAAUUAAAUUAAUUGGAAUUUAGUUAGUAGAUACUUUACGUUAGUAUAAAAUACUUUAGAGAUGUCAUCUCGUCCAUGUUCACCAAAGCCGAGACGAGGGAUUCGCUGUUCUGAAUCCGCUGAACCAAAUGGGAAAGUAAACAAUGAUGAGCACUUGGAUACAUCUGAUGAUAAUUACGACGGUAACUCAAUAGAAGCAGAAGCCAGUGACGAGAGCUGCGCAAAGGCGCCGGAGGAUACAAAGGAUCGUAUCGAAAGGGGUUGUGUAACUUACCUAGCAGGCAUAGUGGGAGCCAUAGUCUUGGCAUACUGGGUGUUUACAAUGCUAACGCCUUCAGAGAAAAAAUGUUCAUACAAUGAAUUACGUCAAAGACAUCAAAAGCAGGAUCAAAAAAUGUGGCAAUCGCUUUCUAUAAAUAUAGAACAUAUUUUGAAUGAACGCUCCACAAAACCGGCUGUGUAUCUUUUUCUUCACCAGGGAAGUAGAGAUAUGCAAGCAUUAGUAAAAAAUAUUGCUUCUGAUACAGUAAACUGCUUCGGUGGUGGUCAGUUAGUCGAGAUGAGUGAAAAUGAUUUUACCACUGAUGAUUAUGGCUAUGCUAUUGAGAAAUUCAAAAAUAAAAUAAAGAAGGGACAUGUGGCACUAAUUGUCCAUUUGAAUAAGAUACCCGUAGAGGCAGCGCGUGCUUUGCACUUCAUCUGCGAUGUACACACACCAAUCGCUGAAGGAGUGGUUAUAUACCUCACAUUAGUUACACCGUCCUCAAUAGCGUUUUCUAUAGCUAAAGUAACUAAUUCGAUACGACAUUUCUGUAAAACUCGUUGCUGGUGAUAUCGGUACUUUUUCGAAUUCUUAUCCGCUUUCGAGAAGAACUGUGCCACCAAAGCGUCACGUCUUUAUGAUGCGAAAGCGAUACUGACAUAAGCAUCUAUUUCGACAGAAAUGGGCCAAUGGUUUUCCUUGAGAUCUUUUUACGUGUUGAUCCUGAGGAAGAUGGACCUGGUUCCUCGUCUGGUUUGAGAACAUAUUCACUAGUUUUUGCCUUCCGUUUCUUCGAUCUUUCGGCAAUGGAGCCACAAUAUCUACUGAACUCCUCAUCAAUACUCAUGUUUCAUUCCAUGCGAAAUGCGAAGACGAUAAUCAACAGAAACAGUAAACGUCACUUCUUCAGUGUUACUUUUUUAAAUGUUCCACACUAGCAACUUACACGAUGAA